ACGGGAGGCAGCAGUGGGGGAUAUUGGUCAAUGGGGGCAACCCUGAACCAGCGACGCCGCGUGAGUGAAGAAGCAUUUCGGUAUGUAAAGCUCUAUCAGCAGGGAAGAAAAAAUCAAAAUUGACAGUACCUGACUAAGAAGCCCCGGCUAACUACGUGCCAGCAGCCGCGGUAAUACGUAGGGGGCAAGCGUUAUCCGGAUUUACUGGGUGUAAAGGGAGCGUAGACGGCGAUGCAAGUCUGAUGUGAAAGCCCGGGGCUCAACCCCGGCACUGCAUUGGAAACUGUGUUGCUAGAGUGCAGGAGAGGUAAGUGGAAUUCCUAGUGUAGCGGUGAAAUGCGUAGAUAUUAGGAGGAACACCAGUGGCGAAGGCGGCUUACUGGACUGUAACUGACGUUGAGGCUCGAAAGCGUGGGGAGCAAACAGGAUUAGAUACCCUGGUA
RNAcentral lists this ribosomal RNA (443 nucleotides) under uncultured Lachnospiraceae bacterium. RNAcentral's name for it is "bacterial SSU rRNA". It matches the Rfam family "Bacterial small subunit ribosomal RNA", at positions 341 to 792 of the family's 1533-position model. Lineage: Bacteria; Bacillati; Bacillota; Clostridia; Lachnospirales; Lachnospiraceae. The record is from RNAcentral.